Non-coding RNA from Salmo salar (Atlantic salmon), 58 nucleotides. NCBI's taxonomy places the organism in Eukaryota, Metazoa, Chordata, Actinopteri, Salmoniformes, Salmonidae. The record is from Rfam.
UGGCUCAGUUGCUAGAGCAUGGUGUUUGCAACGCCAGGGUUGUGGGUUUGAUUCCCAC